RNAcentral lists this ribosomal RNA (492 nucleotides) under uncultured bacterium. RNAcentral describes it as "partial 16S ribosomal RNA". It matches the Rfam family "Bacterial small subunit ribosomal RNA", at positions 29 to 507 of the family's 1533-position model. The record is from RNAcentral.
AGUGAACGCUGGCGGUAUGCCUAACACAUGCAAGUCGAACGACAACACAGUAAGCUCUUUCUUUUACCGGUGGCGAGUGGCGGACGGGUAAGGCAUACAUCGGCAUCUACUUUUUCGUGGGUGAUUACGUAGGGAAACUUCCGCUAAUACCUCAUACGACCUACGGCUUAAAUCAGUAGAUCUUCGCACCUUUCCUGUUUGAAUUAGACGAUGUCGCAUUAGCUAGUUGGCGGGGUAAAGGCCCACCAAGGCGACGAUCCGUAGCUGAUCUGAGAGGAUGAUCAGCCACACUGGAACUGAGACACGGUCCAGACUCCUACGGGAGGCAGCAGUAGGGAAUAUUGGGCAAUGGGCGAAAGCCUGAUGCAGCAACACCGCGUGGGUGAAGAAGGUCUUCGGGUUGUAAAGCCCUGUUAUUGGGGAAGAAAAGAUGCAGGAUAAAAUAUGGAUGUUCUGACGGUACCUAAAGAAUAAGCAACGGCUAACUUCGUG